GUAGGUGACCUGCGGAGGUCAACCCCUGUGGGUAAUGGAUAAUAGUCUUUUGUGGACAAGUAAACUCCCCGUGUGUCCAUUGGGCUGGAUGCACGGUGGUAGGUAGACCCGGUCUUCUUGGUGGGGAGGCCUGGGCUAGUUAGGCCUGGUUUUGGGGUGGUAACUAGACUGGACGGUGUACUGACAAAGCCGUUUUCCAGUCAUAGAGCCGUUCCAGUCAGGCCAGGGCAUGUCCGGUCCCAUUUGGUGGUGGGGCGCCCCUCUGUGGCUCUGAGGCCUUGUCAUCCUCAGUGUCCGUCGGAGUUAUGGGUGUUGGGUGCUGCGGGGGGAUUUGCUCUGAUGUGUCUGAUUAACACGCUAGGAGGCAAGCCUUUUUUUUGCAGAGCCCUGUGUACUUGGACUUCAUCACCCAAGUAGACGAAUAUAGCCUCUUUAUGCCCCUAGGGUCGGGCAAGCAUUCUGAGGGACGCCGAUACGAAUGCAAGCCACUGCGGAGCCUACCACAAGUAAAGGUGACAGCUUGCCCCUCGGGGUAAGCAAGCGUUGCAUGUGUGUGUGUUUUUUAGGGGCCUUGGGCUCUAUAUUUAUUUAGGUACUGCUGCAAGGCGGUUCCGAUUGGCCUUGUGCCAAUAACAUGCCAGUGAAGACGUCCUUGUCCCACUCCAUUACACACUACAGGACAAGACCUAGCUGGUCCGCAGGCGGCGGGAUGACUUGGGUUGGAGAGAGAGAGAGAGAGGAGGGGUUCCAGAAGGAGACUGGGUAGCAUAGGUGGCGUUUCUAGGGCGCUGCUGAGGAACAACCGGCCAGUUGGUCCGCGCUACUUGGUUGAUAUCUGGACUUGUUUGGAUGUAAGGCAGGCAUCCCACAGUGUUGGCGUAGUUACACUCGCCACGCCCCCCCUUCCUUCCGUCGUGCCCAAAAUCAUCUGAAGUUAUGGGCCUCGACGAAUUGAUGUGAGUCGAGGGGGUCAUCUGUUUUGACCCGGCAUGGACCUAAACCUACACGCGGUGCCCCUGUUCUUGACUGAUUAGGUCUAUAACAUCAAGCUGAGUUUUCCAAAAUGGGUGAGAUAACUCUCAACAAUGGAUCUCUAGGCUCUUGCAUCGAUGAAGAACGCAGUGAACUGCGAUAACUGGUGUGAGUUGCAUGGCACUUCUAAUCUAACACCAAGCGAAUCAUCGAGUCUUUGAACGCAAACGGCACCCUUCCAGUCCAUUCCAAAGCGGUGGCUGAGGAUGAAGACAAGGGUAUCUCUGUCUGAGGGUAAUGGAAACUGAUCCAGUGUACCACUUUGGUUGCUGGGGAUUGGGCUUGCUUGGGGGUUUUACUCUGGCUUGCCUUAAAAUCAAGCGUUGUGUGUGGAUUGGACUUUCAAGCAUGCAUUGGGGACGCAGGCUCUGCGCUAUAUGGCAAGCCCUUGACCGUCAUAGGUGCUUUGAUUGGGGUUUUCAGUCUAGCCAACAAAGGCUGGGUUGGACUUUGGGGCUGCAUUGGGGGCGUAGGGCAGCUCUGUUCGUGGCGUCCGAUGACCGUCAUGGUGCAUGAUUGGACUUCAACCAGCAAUUAUCAUAUUAUCAUUACUAUGGGUA
This 1592-nucleotide ribosomal RNA is filed under the name Cantharellus alborufescens. RNAcentral describes it as "eukaryotic LSU rRNA". The stretch from base 1075 to 1270 matches the Rfam family "5.8S ribosomal RNA". The record is from RNAcentral. Lineage: Eukaryota; Fungi; Basidiomycota; Agaricomycetes; Cantharellales; Hydnaceae.